RNAcentral lists this ribosomal RNA (253 nucleotides) under uncultured bacterium. RNAcentral describes it as "partial 16S ribosomal RNA". It matches the Rfam family "Bacterial small subunit ribosomal RNA", at positions 524 to 776 of the family's 1533-position model. The record is from RNAcentral.
UACGUAGGGACCGAGCGUUGUCCGGAAUCAUUGGGCGUAAAGAGCGUGUAGGCGGCUUGCUAAGUCUUGCGUGAAAUCUCGGGGCUCAACCCCGAGCGGUCGUGGGAAACUGGCAGGCUAGAGUGCGGAAGGGGCUACUGGAAUUCUCGGUGUAGCGGUGAAAUGCGUAGAUAUCGAGAGGAACACCUGCGGCGAAGGCGGGUAGCUGGGCCGACACUGACGCUGAGGCGCGAAAGCCAGGGGAGCGAACGGG